Molecule: ribosomal RNA, 253 nt
Filed under: uncultured bacterium
Lineage: Bacteria
Description: partial 16S ribosomal RNA
Rfam family: Bacterial small subunit ribosomal RNA
Source: RNAcentral
UACGAAGGUUGCAAGCGUUACUCGGAAUUACUAGGCGUAAAGGGCAGGUAGGUGGUUUGGUAAGUCUAUUGUGAAAGCUCCUGGCUUAACUGGGAGAGGUCAAUAGAUACUGCCGGACUUGAGUGUAGGAGAGGGUACUGGAAUUCCCGGUGUAGCGGUGAAAUGCGCAGAGAUCGGGAGGAACACCAAUGGCGAAAGCAGGUACCUGGACUAUUACUGACGCUAAGCUGCGAAAGCUAGGGGAGCAAACAGG